This is a long non-coding RNA of Colias croceus (clouded yellow), 161 nucleotides long. RefSeq lists it as uncharacterized. The record is from RefSeq and is a predicted model, not a curated record. The transcript has 2 exons. NCBI's taxonomy places the organism in Eukaryota, Metazoa, Arthropoda, Insecta, Lepidoptera, Pieridae.
UUAACAAUGAUUUAUAUAAUAUUGUAUGUAGCAACACUGCGUUGGUUGUGACACUGUGUCAACUGUCAGUUAUGAAGGAAGUUUUUAUAUAGUCUGUAAUCUGCAAGAUGUAAGAGGUUCCCCAUGUUGUUGUGUGAUUAAUAAAGGCACGCUUCAAUGAU